UACGAAGGGUCCGAGCGUUGUCCGGAGUUACUGGGCGUAAAGCGCGCGCAGGCGGCGAUCUAAGUCUGGCGUGAAAGCCCCCGGCUCAACCGGGGAGGGUCGUCGGAGACUGGGUCGCUUGAGGGCGGUAGGGGCUGGUGGAAUUCCCGGUGUAGUGGUGAAAUGCGUAGAGAUCGGGAGGAACACCUGUGGCGAAGGCGGCCAGCUGGGCCGACCCUGACGCUGAGGCGCGAAGGCGUGGGGAGCGAACGGG
This 253-nucleotide ribosomal RNA is filed under the name uncultured bacterium. RNAcentral's name for it is "partial 16S ribosomal RNA". It matches the Rfam family "Bacterial small subunit ribosomal RNA", at positions 524 to 776 of the family's 1533-position model. The record is from RNAcentral.